RNAcentral lists this ribosomal RNA (498 nucleotides) under uncultured bacterium. RNAcentral describes it as "partial 16S ribosomal RNA". It matches the Rfam family "Bacterial small subunit ribosomal RNA", at positions 30 to 523 of the family's 1533-position model. The record is from RNAcentral.
AUUGAACGCUGGCGGCAUGCCUUACACAUGCAAGUCGAACGGUAACAGGUCUUCGGAUGCUGACGAGUGGCGAACGGGUGAGUAAUACAUCGGAACGUGCCUAGUAGUGGGGGAUAACUACUCGAAAGAGUGGCUAAUACCGCAUGAGAUCUACGGAUGAAAGCAGGGGAUCGCAAGACCUUGUGCUACUAGAGCGGCCGGUGGCAGAUUAGGUAGUUGGUGGGAUAAAAGCUUACCAAGCCGACGAUCUGUAGCUGGUCUGAGAGGACGAUCAACCAACCUGGGACGGAGACACGGGCCAGACUCCUACGGGAGGCAGCAGUGGGGAAUUUUGGACAAUGGGCGAAAGCCUGAUCCAGCAAUGCCGCGGGCAGGACGAAGGCCUUCGGGUUGUAAACUGCUUUUGUACGGAACGAAAAGCCCCGGGUUAAUACCCUGGGGUCAUGACGGUACCGUAAGAAUAAGCACCGGCUAACUACGUGCCAGCAGCCGCGGUAA